GCCUUGUUAGCGCAGUAGUUAGCGUGUCAGUCUUAUAAUCUGAAGGUCGUGAGUUCAAUCCUCACACAGGGCA
Molecule: transfer RNA, 73 nt
Filed under: Ameiurus melas (black bullhead)
Lineage: Eukaryota; Metazoa; Chordata; Actinopteri; Siluriformes; Ictaluridae
Rfam family: tRNA
About the family: Transfer RNA (tRNA) molecules are approximately 80 nucleotides in length. Their secondary structure includes four short double-helical elements and three loops (D, anti-codon, and T loops). Further hydrogen bonds mediate the characteristic L-shaped molecular structure. tRNAs have two regions of fundamental functional importance: the anti-codon, which is responsible for specific mRNA codon recognition, and the 3' end, to which the tRNAs corresponding amino acid is attached (by aminoacyl-tRNA synthetases). tRNAs cope with the degeneracy of the genetic code in two manners: having more than one tRNA (with a specific anti-codon) for a particular amino acid; and 'wobble' base-pairing, i.e. permitting non-standard base-pairing at the 3rd anti-codon position.
Source: Rfam by way of RNAcentral